CACGAUCUAAUUCUAGAACAUUUUCAUCCCUCCACAAGAAACUCUGAGCUCACUAGCAGUCACUGCCCACCAUUCCCCAUUCUACCCAGCCCCUGGCAAUCAUUAAUCUACUUUCUGUCUAUAUGGAUUUGUUUAUUCUGGACAUUUCAUAUAAAUGGAAUCAGUCAUACAAUAUGUGGCCCUCUGUGUCUGGGUUCUUUCACUUAGCAGUAAGUUUUUCAAGGUUAACCCAUUUUGUAGUAUGUAUCAGAACUUCAUUUCUUUUUAUAACCGAAUAAUAUUCCAUCAUAUGGACACACCACAGUUUGUUUAUCUGGUUAUCACUUUGUGGGAAUUUGAGUUGUUUCUACCUUUUGCCUAUCAUGAGUAAUGCUGCCAAGAACAUUGGUGUACAUUUUGUGUGCACAUAUGCUUUCAUAGGAGUGGAAUUGCUGGGUCAUAUGGUAAUAACUUUAUGAUUAACAGUUUGAGGAACUGUCUGGAACUAAUGUUUAAGAGUCCUGGCUGUCCUUGAGCUACUUCAGUAUCCUCCACAUGAAUAUAUGAAUUCCUUUUUUUCCUUCUUCUUUCAUCGACUUGAAUUGAUUUUAGUAACAUUAUUUGCAACCUCAUGAGCCUUAACAAAGUCACCCACUUGUAUUACUUCUGGUUUAGACUUUCCCGAUUCCUCAGUCUCCUUUAUUUUGGCUCCAUUUUUGCUUGCCUAUUUGAUAAUGCUUUAGUUUGGCUUUAUUUUGGCUGCAAGUAUCAGAUACUCAUUCCAGUUAGCUCAAGUAUAAGAACAUUCAGAAAAAUACAUGAUAAGAUAAUGGAAGCUUUUGGAAACCCAAGAACAAAAACCAUAAAGGGCUAGCUUCAGAGAAACUAGUGCUAAAAGCUAGUUCUCAAUUUGAGGUGGCUGUACACUUUACCAAUUACAAAUUUGUAAGUCUUCACUGUAUUUCAUCAGUAUAGCUAUAGUUCAGCCAUACUCAUUUCUGUCCUGCUAUGAACUGGUAAUUUCUCUACUUUCAUGCCAUUCUUCUGAGAGAGAAGCUCUGAUGGGUCCAAUGUAUCUUUUCAUAUCUGAUUACAGGUCAUGGGAAUCUAGCCAAUCUAUGGUUUGGUUGCUCUUAAAUCAGGUGCCCACCCUGAUCCAAUCAUUCAUGAGUCCAGAGAGCUAGAUCUCAUGGUACAAAACAUGGCUACUGAGUCUACUUCUUUAACAGGGGCCAGGAGGGCAUGGUGAUUGAUUUUUUUUGUGUGUGAUUGAUUGAUAUUUUGUUUUGUUUUGUAUUUUUGAGAGACGGAAUUUCGCUCUGUCGCCCAGGCUAGAGUAGAGUGGAGUGAUCUCGGCUUACUGCAACCUCUGCCUCCCGGGUUCAAGCGAUUCUCCUGCCUCAGUGUCCCAAAUAGCUGGGACUACAGGCUGUCUGCUGCCCUGCAUUGUGAGUUUGCUCAGUGGGCCAGCGUGGCACAGAAGCACAGUUGAGAGACCAGACCCGGGGCCUCUGGAGGAACGUGCUGGUAUCAUCGCUGAAGAGCUUUCUCAAUGCUGGCUGGCUGUUGUCAGGAGCAGUCCUUAGACAGGCUCGCUUCUGGUAGUUCAAAGAAUCAGUGCUCUGCAAAAGUAAGUUAUAAUAAAUGUUAUCUUAAAAAAUAAAAACAAGGCAACUGUUUUUUUUUUAAGUGCCCUCUCUAGCCUUGGGAGUCCUAAUGAGCUAUAAUCACAGAGACGCCAGACUAGUCAAAAUUGGAAGAAAGAGCUAUAAUCACAGGAAAAGAACUCUCUCCACAAUUUGAAGUAUCCCAGAAAAAGCAGCAGCAAUGAGGACAGACUUCAAGACAAGCAGAGAGGAGCAGCCAUGGCGGGGCCUGCAGUGGCUACAGGGGGCCUCUAUAGCGUGAAAUGACAUCAGAAAAGGACCUGAGUGGCCCAAGAAAGGGAGGACGGAAAGUCAAGGAGGAAAGUAAGCAGGAGUUGAAUUUAGGAGUAAAUGCUACGGUGAUUAUGACUCACAGCCUCAUGGUCCUCAAGGCUGGAGUGGCGUUGGAGAAACCAGGUCAUAGUUGUAUAACCAAGGUACUCUGCAGGAUGGACUAUGGAGCUGCCUCCUGCAGCCACAGGUGAUCAAAAUGAGGUCUGUGUGACGGAGCCUGCAGCGAGGCAAGAUGGCUGCCUCAAACAAGUCCAUAUUUCAUCUCUCCUCCUAACCUCCUGCCUGCCAAAGCUCUGGCAGGGAACUCAUUACAACAAAGCAUGCAUGCACCCUAAUUACCUGUCAUACUUCUCUGUUGCUGGACCAGACCCUAUAAGAGAAUUCCAAAGAAUUUAUUUUUAUGGGAACAAAAUGCAGUAAUUGAUGUUGCAAUCCUGCCCAAAUCACUGAACAGAUCCUUUAACAUCCAAAUUCCCUAAAACAGCUUUGACUUACUACACACUUCACAUGCCAGCUAGUGUUUGAAGUGCGUGUAGCCGCCCCCAUGAAGCCCUUUCUUACUGGAGGGCCUGGGUCAACAUUGCUGAAGAGCCAGAAAAUCAGAAAUGAGUCCAGUAUCCACAUUCCAGCACUAAGCCCAGUAUCUACCAACCCGAGAAGCAACUGCCCUAGGCAAGCAAGGGCAGCACAAUCAGGUUGACCUCUCCUCGGGGACGAAGGAAAGAUGGCCCCCUCUCUCCCACAGGAGACUCCCUCAGCCCCAGUGAGGAGAGGAGAGGGAGCAGUGGGCAGGCUGUUUGAUCCUCCCCACCUGCACCUGGAUCAGCCCUGCCUGCUCCAGUCAUCCUUUUCACACCAGCAGGAAGGAAAUUGAAGCUACUGC
RNAcentral lists this long non-coding RNA (2802 nucleotides) under Homo sapiens (human). RNAcentral's name for it is "HSALNT0302005". Lineage: Eukaryota; Metazoa; Chordata; Mammalia; Primates; Hominidae. The record is from RNAcentral.